This 61-nucleotide transfer RNA is filed under the name Cavia porcellus (domestic guinea pig). It matches the Rfam family "tRNA". From Rfam's summary of the family: Transfer RNA (tRNA) molecules are approximately 80 nucleotides in length. Their secondary structure includes four short double-helical elements and three loops (D, anti-codon, and T loops). The record is from Rfam by way of RNAcentral. Lineage: Eukaryota; Metazoa; Chordata; Mammalia; Rodentia; Caviidae.
GGGGAUUUAGCUCAGUGGCAAAAGCACCUGUCUUGCAAGCAGGCAGUUGAGUCGAUCCCUG